GAAUUGGCUGACUGUAUUCCAAA
This 23-nucleotide microRNA is filed under the name Mus musculus (house mouse). Its description in RNAcentral is "mmu-miR-6375". Lineage: Eukaryota; Metazoa; Chordata; Mammalia; Rodentia; Muridae. The record is from miRBase by way of RNAcentral.